This is a long non-coding RNA of Coccinella septempunctata (seven-spotted ladybird), 363 nucleotides long. RefSeq lists it as uncharacterized. The transcript is spliced from 2 exons. The record is from RefSeq and is a predicted model, not a curated record. Lineage: Eukaryota; Metazoa; Arthropoda; Insecta; Coleoptera; Coccinellidae.
UGAUGUUCACAGAAAGGCAAAAAAAAAUUGAGAAAAUCUUUUCUUAUUUUAUACAAUUUGGAUUAGAAAUGUCUCUUAUUUAUAAGUACCUGCAAGUAAGGUUACAAAUUAGGAGAAUACCUAUUUUUAUCACAGGUAUAGAUAAAAUUAGAUCAUCAACAUACUGAUAUAUAAAUGAUGGAGUAAAAGAAAGUCUCUCUAAAGAUGAUUUUAUAAGCGUUGACAUCACCAUAUCAGCUAAAAUAGGACUCAAGCAACUGCCCAUGGGACAUCCAAAUUUUUGUUUAUAGAAAGAACCAUUAUAUAGGAAAUAAUUAGAAUGAAAAAUGUAUUCAACUAUCUGAAUGAAAUGCUCUUUAUGAA